CCAUGAGCAUUUUCCUGACAUGAAAUUUGUAUUGAUAUUUCUGUCCUCAUCACCAUAGACAAUUUUUGGAACUCUUCUGGCAACUAAUCAAUAUGUGCUGAAUGUAUUAGUGCUACAAGUCCUGCAGUCCCUCAGGUAGUAAAAUGUUAAGAGGCUCUUAAGAGGCUCAGUCCAAUGAUGAUCAGAAUUUUAGACUAAUAUUAAUAUUUAACAAUAUGUACUUUU
This 225-nucleotide long non-coding RNA is filed under the name Bos taurus (domestic cattle). RNAcentral describes it as "long non-coding RNA NONBTAT019300". Lineage: Eukaryota; Metazoa; Chordata; Mammalia; Artiodactyla; Bovidae. The record is from RNAcentral.